This 365-nucleotide unclassified non-coding RNA is filed under the name rhizosphere metagenome. Its description in RNAcentral is "partial ribosomal RNA internal transcribed spacer region". The record is from RNAcentral.
GUAGGUGAACCUGCGGAAGGAUCAUUAUUGAAUGAACUUGGCUCGUUGUUGCUGGUCCUUUCGGGGGCAUGUGCACACUUGUCAUCUUUAUAUUUCCACCUGUGCACAUUUUGUAGGUCCAAAAAAUUUUUCCCGAGACACUCGUUUGGGGGACUGCCGUUCGUUAAUGUCGGCUUCCCCUGUUGGCCUGUAUAGGUCAAAAUUUUUUUCCGAGACACUCGUUUGGGGCACUGCCGUCCGUUAGGUCGGCUUGCCUUGGAUUUAUUGGCCUAUGUUUUCAUAUACACCAUAAUGUAAUAGAAUGUUAUUAAUGGGCUUUGCCUAUAAACUAUAUACAACUUUCAGCAACGGAUCUCUUGGCUCUC